RNAcentral lists this ribosomal RNA (253 nucleotides) under uncultured bacterium. RNAcentral's name for it is "partial 16S ribosomal RNA". It matches the Rfam family "Bacterial small subunit ribosomal RNA", at positions 524 to 776 of the family's 1533-position model. The record is from RNAcentral.
UACGUAGGGGGCAAGCGUUGUCCGGAAUUAUUGGGCGUAAAGGGCGCGUAGGCGGCUUUGCAAGUGACGGGUGAAAGCCCUCGGCUUAACCGAGGAACUGCCUGUCAGACUGUAAGGCUUGAGACCGGGAGAGGUGAGUGGAAUUCCCAGUGUAGCGGUGAAAUGCGUAGAUAUUGGGAGGAACACCAGUGGCGAAGGCGGCUCACUGGACCGGAACUGACGCUGAGGCGCGAAAGCGUGGGGAGCAAACAGG